GACGAACGCUGGCGGCGUGCUUAACACAUGCAAGUCGAACGGAAAGGCCUGCUUUCCCUUGUGGAUUGCGGGUACUCGAGUGGCGAACGGGUGAGUAACACGUGAGUGAUCUGCCCCCAACUUGGGUAUAAGCCUGGGAAACUGGGUCUAAUUCCCGAUAGGACUGCAGGGUGGUGCCUGUGGUGGAAAACGAUUUUCUAGUGGUUGGGGAUGAGCUCGCGGCCGAUCAGCUUGUUGGUGGGGUAAUGGCCUACCAAGGCGGGGCCGGGUAGCCGGCCUGGGGUAGUGGGCGGCCACAUUGGGACGGAGAUACGGCGCAGACUCCUACGGGAAGCAGCAGUGGGGAAUAUUGCGCGAUGGGCGGAAGCCUGAGGCAGCGACGCCGCGUGGGGGAUGACGGGCUUCGGGUUGUAAACUCCUUUCGGCCGCGAGGAAGCCACCUGGUUGGAAGGGUGGUGACGGUAGUGGUAGAAGAAGCACCGGCUAACUACGUG
This 494-nucleotide ribosomal RNA is filed under the name uncultured bacterium. RNAcentral describes it as "partial 16S ribosomal RNA". It matches the Rfam family "Bacterial small subunit ribosomal RNA", at positions 28 to 507 of the family's 1533-position model. The record is from RNAcentral.